GACGAACCGUGCGAACGUUGUUCGGAAUCACUGGGCUUAAAGGGCGCGUAGGCGGGCUCUCAAGUCAGGGGUGAAAUCUUUCGGCCCAACCGGAAAAGCGCUUCUGAUACUGGGAGUCUCGAGGGAGGUAGGGGUCGGUGGAACUGGUGGUGGAGCGGUGAAAUGCGUAGAUAUCACUAGGAACGCCGGUGGCGAAGGCGGCAUCCUGGACCGGUAUUGACGCUGAGGCGCGAAAGCUAGGGGAGCAAACGGG
Molecule: ribosomal RNA, 253 nt
Filed under: uncultured bacterium
Lineage: Bacteria
Description: partial 16S ribosomal RNA
Rfam family: Bacterial small subunit ribosomal RNA
Source: RNAcentral